RNAcentral lists this long non-coding RNA (521 nucleotides) under Setaria viridis. Its description in RNAcentral is "long non-coding RNA (SVIR_LNC005987)". Lineage: Eukaryota; Viridiplantae; Streptophyta; Magnoliopsida; Poales; Poaceae. The record is from RNAcentral.
GGGAAGGAACAGACUCAGGCGGAAAGACUUAAGGCGCUAAGGCUUGGGCGGCGGCGGGGUCCGGCGGCGGCGGUGCUCCUUGUCAACAACAAGCAAGCUCUAGCACCGUGCAGAGGAAAACAAGCAGCUGGUGGGUUGGGAAAAGCGGGUGUUGAGUGGAGAGGGGAAGUUCCUCAAGAGCUUAUGCGACAACGCUUGAGCACGAAACAGAGGAAGGUGCGGCGAGGUAAAGAUGGCGAAGGGAACUCCGGUAGAGGCUCUGGUAUUUCCUUUUAUAGCUACGCAGAAGAGAAGGAGUCUGGGCAGCGUGAGGAUCAGGUCGAAGAGGAUGGAGUGCUCUGCCGUGGCGGCGAUUGGUCGACGCCUCCAUUGGCCGGCGAAGCGGAGCUUCGGGGACAGGGUCUUCGGUCAUUGGGCACUGGAGAGAGAGCUUGUGCAGGCGCGAUUUUGCUAGAAAGAAGGAUUGGCGAGGGCGAGCGUGGGUCUGGUCGCGUCAAGCGGCGGAUUGGGGGCGACGGCUC